RNAcentral lists this ribosomal RNA (253 nucleotides) under uncultured bacterium. Its description in RNAcentral is "partial 16S ribosomal RNA". It matches the Rfam family "Bacterial small subunit ribosomal RNA", at positions 524 to 776 of the family's 1533-position model. The record is from RNAcentral.
UACAGAGGUCUCAAGCGUUGUUCGGAUUCAUUGGGCGUAAAGGGUGCGUAGGCGGCGCGGUAAGUCGGGUGUGAAAUCUUGGAGCUUAACUCCGAAACUGCAUUCGAUACUGCCGUGCUUGAGGACUGGAGAGGAGACUGGAAUUUACGGUGUAGCGGUGAAAUGCGUAGAGAUCAUGAGGAAGACCAGUGGCGAAGGCGAGUCUCUGGACAGUUCCUGACACUGAGACACGAAGGCCAGGGGAGCAAACGGG